Molecule: long non-coding RNA, 551 nt
Filed under: Homo sapiens (human)
Lineage: Eukaryota; Metazoa; Chordata; Mammalia; Primates; Hominidae
Description: PREDICTED lncRNA (TCONS_00212805)
Source: RNAcentral
GAAGUUUUAGUCAACCUGUCUUUGAUUAUUGGCUUGCCAUAUGCAGUCUACGUGUACUUGAUCAUCGCUUAACUUUUUAGCCUGUUUCUCAUGUAUGAAACGAGAAUAAUGAUAUCCAGCUCAUGGGUUGUUUAAAGGAAUACAUGACAUGAUAAGGUGAAGAGGAACAGAUGCUGCCAUGAAAGGGGUUUCCUAGAAAGUGGUGAAGAGACCAUAGCCUAAUGCAAGUAGAGAAUUGGGACCAGGAAAAAUAAAGCCAUGAAAUAAUGAGUCUGCUGUAUUAGAGUAAUGUGGAACAAGUGACAAUUUCAUUUUUUAAGAAUGCUGUUUGUACAAACAACCCCAUCAAAAAGUGGGCAAAGGACAUGAACAGACACUUCUCAAAAGAAGACAUUUAUGCAGCCAAAAAACACAUGAAAAAAUGCUCACCAUCACUGGCCAUCAGAGAAAUGCAAAUCAAAACCACAAUGAGAUACCAUCUCACACCAGUUAGAAUGGCGAUCAUUAAAAAGUCAGGAAACAACAGGUGCCGGAGAGGGUGUGGAGAAAUA